RNAcentral lists this transfer RNA (73 nucleotides) under Actinomycetota bacterium. RNAcentral's name for it is "Actinobacteria bacterium (aquatic metagenome) tRNA-Lys". It matches the Rfam family "tRNA". Rfam says of the family: Transfer RNA (tRNA) molecules are approximately 80 nucleotides in length. Their secondary structure includes four short double-helical elements and three loops (D, anti-codon, and T loops). The record is from RNAcentral. Lineage: Bacteria; Bacillati; Actinomycetota.
GGGUCGUUAGCUCAACUGGAAGAGCAGGGGACUCUUAAUCCCAAGGUUACAGGUUCGAGUCCUGUACGACCCA